GCCGCAGUGGUGAAAUUGGUAGACACGCGGGUUUCAAAAACCCGUGGGGGCAACCUCUUGUCGGUUCGAGUCCGACCUGCGGCA
Molecule: transfer RNA, 84 nt
Filed under: Candidatus Roizmanbacteria bacterium CG10_big_fil_rev_8_21_14_0_10_39_6
Lineage: Bacteria; Candidatus Roizmaniibacteriota
Description: tRNA-Leu
Rfam family: tRNA
About the family: Transfer RNA (tRNA) molecules are approximately 80 nucleotides in length. Their secondary structure includes four short double-helical elements and three loops (D, anti-codon, and T loops).
Source: RNAcentral